CGUAGGAUCCGAGCGUUGUCCGGAUUUACUGGGUGUAAAGGGUGCGCAGGCGGACUGGUAAGUCAGUGGUGAAAUCUCGUCGCUUAACGACGAAACUGCCUUUGAUACUAUCAGUCUUGAGUCUGGUAGAGAUCUGUGGAAUUCCGAGUGUAGCAGUGAAAUGUGUAGAUAUUCGGAAGAACACCAGUGGCGAAGGCAGCAGAUUGGGCCGGUACUGACGCUCAUGCACGAAAGCGUGGGGAUCAAACAGGAUUAGAUACCCUGGUAGUCCACGCCCUAAACGAUGUACACUUGAUGUCGGCCUGUAAGGGUCGGUGUCGGAGCUAACGCGUUAAGUGUACCACCUGGGGAGUACGCUCGCAAGGGUG
Molecule: ribosomal RNA, 368 nt
Filed under: uncultured organism
Description: bacterial SSU rRNA
Rfam family: Bacterial small subunit ribosomal RNA
Source: RNAcentral